CCUACGCAGUGCAGCAGUGGGGAAUAUUGGACAAUGGGCGAAAGCCUGAUCCAGCCAUGCCGCGUGUGUGAAGAAGGCCUUCGGGUUGUAAAGCACUUUCAGUGGGGAAGAAAGCCUUGGGGCUAAUACCCUCGAGGAAGGACAUCACCCACAGAAGAAGCACCGGCUAACUCCGUGCCAGCAGCCGCGGUAAUACGGAGGGUGCGAGCGUUAAUCGGAAUUACUGGGCGUAAAGCGCGCGUAGGCGGUCUGAUAAGCCGGUUGUGAAAGCCCCGGGCUCAACCUGGGAACGGCAUCCGGAACUGUCAGGCUAGAGUGCAGGAGAGGAAGGUAGAAUUCCCGGUGUAGCGGUGAAAUGCGUAGAGAGCGGGAGGAAUACCAGUGGCGAAGGCGGCCUUCUGGACUGACACUGACGCUGAGGUGCGAAAGCGUGGGUAGCAAACAGGAUUAGAUACCCUAGUAGUC
Molecule: ribosomal RNA, 465 nt
Filed under: Vreelandella stevensii
Lineage: Bacteria; Pseudomonadati; Pseudomonadota; Gammaproteobacteria; Oceanospirillales; Halomonadaceae
Description: partial 16S ribosomal RNA
Rfam family: Bacterial small subunit ribosomal RNA
Source: RNAcentral